GAUGAACGCUGGCGGCGUGCCUAAUACAUGCAAGUCGAGCGAACAGACGAGGAGCUUGCUCCUCUGACGUUAGCGGCGGACGGGUGAGUAACACGUGGAUAACCUACCUAUAAGACUGGGAUAACUUCGGGAAACCGGAGCUAAUACCGGAUAAUAUAUUGAACCGCAUGGUUCAAUAGUGAAAGACGGUUUUGCUGUCACUUAUAGAUGGAUCCGCGCCGCAUUAGCUAGUUGGUAAGGUAACGGCUUACCAAGGCAACGAUGCGUAGCCGACCUGAGAGGGUGAUCGGCCACACUGGAACUGAGACACGGUCCAGACUCCUACGGGAGGCAGCAGGAGGGAAUCUUCCGCAAUGGGCGAAAGCCUGACGGAGCAACGCCGCGUGAGUGAUGAAGGUCUUCGGAUCGUAAAACUCUGUUAUUAGGGAAGAACAAAUGUGUAAGUAACGAUGCACGUCUUGACGGUACCUAAUCAGAAAGCCACGGCUAACUACGU
This 496-nucleotide ribosomal RNA is filed under the name uncultured bacterium. Its description in RNAcentral is "partial 16S ribosomal RNA". It matches the Rfam family "Bacterial small subunit ribosomal RNA", at positions 28 to 506 of the family's 1533-position model. The record is from RNAcentral.